RNAcentral lists this ribosomal RNA (492 nucleotides) under uncultured bacterium. Its description in RNAcentral is "partial 16S ribosomal RNA". It matches the Rfam family "Bacterial small subunit ribosomal RNA", at positions 29 to 507 of the family's 1533-position model. The record is from RNAcentral.
AGUGAACGCUGGCGGUAUGCCUAACACAUGCAAGUCGAACGGCAGCACAGUAAGAGCUUGCUCUUACGGGUGGCGAGUGGCGGACGGGUGAGGAAUACAUCGGAAUCUACUUUUUCGUGGGGGAUAACGUGGGGAAACUUACGCUAAUACCGCAUACGACCUACGGGUGAACGCAGUGGAUCUUCGGACCUUGCGCGAUUGAAUGAGCCGGUGUCGGAUUAGCUAGUUGGCGGGGUAAAGACCCACCAAGGCGACGAUCCGUAGCUGGUCUGAGAGGAUGAUCAGCCACACUGGAACUGAGACACGGUCCAGACUCCUACGGGAGGCAGCAGUGGGGAAUAUUGGACAAUGGGCGCAAGCCUGAUACAGCCAUACCGCGUGGGUGAAGAAGGCCUUCGGGUUGUAAAGCCCUUUUGUUGGGAAAGAAAAGCAGCAGGUUAAUACCCCGCUGUUCUGACGGUACCCAAAGAAUAAGCACCGGCUAACUUCGUG